CCAAUAACACACCUCACCAAUAACACACCAGGUCCAGCACUCCCCAAUAACACACCUCACCAAUAACACACCUCACCAAUAACACACCAGGUUCAGCACUCCCCAAUAACACACCUCACCAAUAACACACCAGGUCCAGCACUCCCCAAUAACACACCUCACCAAUAACACACCAGGUCCAGCACUCACCAAUAACACACCUCACCAAUAACACACCUCACCAAUAACACACCAGGUCCAGCACUCACCAAUUACACACCUCACCAAUUACACACCUCACCAAUAACACACCUCACCAAUAACACACCUCACCAAUUACACACCUCACUGAUAACACACCUCACCAAUAACACACCUCACCAAUAACACACCUCACCAAUAACACACCUCACCAAUCACACACCAGGUCCAGCACUCACCGAUAACACACCUCACCAAUAACGCACCUCACCGAUAACACACCUCACCAAUAACGCACCUCACCGAUAACAUACCUCACCAAUAACGCACCUCACCGAUAACACAGCUCACCGAUAACACACCUGACAGUUGCAGGACAGAACAUCCCUCUCUCCCCCUCAGUUUCCAGUCUAGCUGUAAAGAUCGAUUCCUCCCUGACCUUUGACAGCCACAUCAAACAACUGUUUGUCAUUCUGGGGUGGCAGCGUAGCCUAGUGGUUAGAGCGGUGGACUAGUAACCGAAAGGUUGCAAGUUCGAAAUCCCUGAGCAGACAAGGUACAAAUCUGUCGUUCUGUCCCUGAACAAGGCAGUUAACCCACUGUUCCUAGGCCGUCAUUGAAAAUAAGAAUUUGUUCUUAACUGACUUGCCAAGUUAAAUAAAAUAAAACAAUUCUAUCACCUCGUGAACAUUGCCAAACUCCGUCUCACUCAGUCUGAGGCAGAGAAACUGGUCCAUUUCUUUAUCUCCUCAAGGCUGGACGACUACAACACAGUCUUCACCUGGAUCCCUGGCAGGAGUCUCCAGGACUACAACACAGUCUUCACCUGGAUCCCUGGCAGGAGUCUCCAGGACUACAACACAGUCUUCACCUGGAUCCCGGGUAGGAGUCUCCAGAAGCUCCAGUACAUCCAGAACAGUACUGCCAGGAUCCUGAUGAGAGUCAGGAAACACCAUGACUUCAACCCCAUCCCGGCAUCUCUGCACUGGCUCCCAGUCUCAUAACCCUCCUGGUGACCUUCCAGUGUAGUCAUGG
This is a long non-coding RNA of Oncorhynchus tshawytscha (Chinook salmon), 1215 nucleotides long. NCBI's taxonomy places the organism in Eukaryota, Metazoa, Chordata, Actinopteri, Salmoniformes, Salmonidae. The record is from Ensembl.